GACGAACGCUGGCGGCGUGCUUAACACAUGCAAGUCGAACGGAAAGGCCCCCACUUUUUUGGUGGGGGUGCUCGAGUGGCGAACGGGUGAGUAACACGUGGGUGAUCUGCCCUGUACUUCGGGAUAAGCUUGGGAAACUGUGUCUAAUACCGGAUAGGACCAUGGUUUAGUGUCUCAUGGUGGAAAAAUUAUUGUUUUGGUGCAGGAUGAGCUCGCGGCCUAUCAGCUUGUUGGUGGGGUAAUGGCCUACCAAGGCGUCGACGGGUAGCCGGCCUGAGAGGGUGGCCGGCCACAUUGGGACUGAGAUACGGCCCAGACUCCUACGGGAGGCAGCAGUGGGGAAUAUUGCACAAUGGGCGCAAGCCUGAUGCAGCGACGCCGCGUGGGGGAUGACGGCCUUCGGGUUGUAAACUCCUUUCGUUAGGGACGAAGCCGCACCUUUUUUGGGUGUGGUGACGGUACCUUUGUUAAGAAGCACCGGCUAACUACGUG
Molecule: ribosomal RNA, 492 nt
Filed under: uncultured bacterium
Lineage: Bacteria
Description: partial 16S ribosomal RNA
Rfam family: Bacterial small subunit ribosomal RNA
Source: RNAcentral